Molecule: long non-coding RNA, 301 nt
Organism: Megalobrama amblycephala (Wuchang bream)
Lineage: Eukaryota; Metazoa; Chordata; Actinopteri; Cypriniformes; Xenocyprididae
Exons: 3
Source: RefSeq, a predicted model, not a curated record
CUCAACUCGGGUGAAGGGGUGUUUUUCUUUUUCCUCAAUAACGCGAAUCCUCUUCUUCUUGUUCCCUGGCACAGAUGCCAAUCUCCCCCAGGCUUAGUGGUUGUAAUAUGGUGCUUGACUCUGCAGAAUUUUCUAUAAAGAGAAAUAUCAGCAAAUACACAUUGACCUGGAGGAGAGAGAGGUUGUGGAAGGCUCCGGGCACUGUCAGGGGUAACAUUGGAGCAGAUAUUGUAGUAGUGUCUAGUGUCUCCUUGUUCAAAGGUGAACACAUAGUCUCCAGGAGGGGGUAGGGUGCUUCCAG